AGCGAACGCUGGCGGCAGGCUUAACACAUGCAAGUCGAGCGGGCACUUCGGUGUCAGCGGCAGACGGGUGAGUAAAACGUGGGAACGUACCCUUUGGUUCGGAAUAACGCUGGGAAACUAGCGCUAAUACCGGAUACGCCCUUUUGGGGAAAGGCUUGCUGCCGAAGGAUCGGCCCGCGUCUGAUUAGCUAGUUGGUUGGGUAAUGGCCUACCAAGGCGACGAUCAGUAGCUGGUCUGAGAGGAUGAUCAGCCACACUGGGACUGAGACACGGCCCAGACUCCUACGGGAGGCAGCAGUGGGGAAUAUUGGACACUGGGCGCAAGCCUGAUCCAGCCAUGCCGCGUGAGUGAUUAAGGCCUUAGGGUUGUAAAGCUCUUUUGUCCGGGACGAUAAUGACGGUACCGGAAGAAUAAGCCCCGGCUAACUUCGUG
Molecule: ribosomal RNA, 433 nt
Filed under: uncultured bacterium
Lineage: Bacteria
Description: partial 16S ribosomal RNA
Rfam family: Bacterial small subunit ribosomal RNA
Source: RNAcentral